Molecule: ribosomal RNA, 488 nt
Filed under: uncultured bacterium
Lineage: Bacteria
Description: bacterial SSU rRNA
Rfam family: Bacterial small subunit ribosomal RNA
Source: RNAcentral
AUUGAACGCUGGCGGCAUGCCUUACACAUGCAAGUCGAACGGCAGCACGGGAGCAAUCCUGGUGGCGAGUGGCGAACGGGUGAGUAAUAUAUCGGAACGUGCCCGGUCGUGGGGGAUAACGUAGCGAAAGCUACGCUAAUACCGCAUACGAUCUACGGAUGAAAGCGGGGGAUCGCAAGACCUCGCGCGAUUGGAGCGGCCGAUAUCAGAUUAGGUAGUUGGUGAGGUAAAGGCUCACCAAGCCGACGAUCUGUAGCUGGUCUGAGAGGACGACCAGCCACACUGGGACUGAGACACGGUCCAGACUCCUACGGGAGGCAGCAGUGGGGAAUUUUGGACAAUGGACGCAAGUCUGAUCCAGCCAUUCCGCGUGCAGGAUGAAGGCCCUCGGGUUGUAAACUGCUUUGUACGGAACGAAACGGUGAGCUCUAAUACAGUUUGCUAAUGACGGUACCGUAAGAAUAAGCAACCGGCUAACUACGUGCCAG